CUGCACCCGGCGGCUUACCCUGUCAUGGACCGAGGGCUGACACCUCAGUCGGCCAGGUUAAUCACCGGUUCGGUGAACUUGUUAGAUUUUAGUAACAGGUUUGUGCGAACCGGUGAGAACCAGCUCAAUCCCACCACUGGUCUUAGUGUAGAGAAUAUCUAUGAAUUCAGGGAUAAAGUUGUAUGGAGUGACUGUGUGUGAACACUGGAGGAUAUUUGAGCAAUGCGUGUGUGAC
Molecule: non-coding RNA, 235 nt
Organism: Pelobates cultripes (western spadefoot toad)
Lineage: Eukaryota; Metazoa; Chordata; Amphibia; Anura; Pelobatidae
Source: the annotation of a GenBank genome assembly